Molecule: ribosomal RNA, 489 nt
Filed under: Terebra jenningsi
Lineage: Eukaryota; Metazoa; Mollusca; Gastropoda; Neogastropoda; Terebridae
Description: partial 16S ribosomal RNA
Rfam family: Bacterial large subunit ribosomal RNA
Source: RNAcentral
GNGANCNGCCCGGUGAANUAUUUUUAACGGCCGCGGUACUCUGACCGUGCNAANNUAGCAUAAUCAUUUGCCUUAUAAUUGAAGGCUGGUAUGAAUGGUUUGACAAGAAUGAAGCUGUCUCUUUAUAAUUUGGUAGAACUUUAUUUUUAGGUGAAAAAGCCUUAAUUUAAUUAAUAGACAAAAAAACCCUAUCNAGCUUUAGAUAAACUAGUGGAUUAGAAUAAAAACUUUAUUUAAUUGAAAGAGUAAGCUGCUAGAUACUUUGGUUGGGGCGACUGAGGAACAUAUGAAGCUUCCUUUAAGUGUAUUUAACAUACGGGUAUUGAUCCAAAAAUGUUGAUUAAAGGAAUUAGUUACCGUAGGGAUAACAGCAUUAUCUUUUUUGAGAGUUCUAAUCGAAAAAAAGGUUUGUGACCUCGAUGUUGGACCAGAAUGUCCUAAAGAUGCAGAAGUCUUUAAGGGUUGGUCUGUUCGACCAUUAAAAUUCUA